This 492-nucleotide ribosomal RNA is filed under the name uncultured bacterium. RNAcentral describes it as "partial 16S ribosomal RNA". It matches the Rfam family "Bacterial small subunit ribosomal RNA", at positions 29 to 507 of the family's 1533-position model. The record is from RNAcentral.
AGUGGACGCUGGCGGUAGGCCUAACACAUGCAAGUCGAACGGCAGCACAGUAAGAGCUUGCUCUUACGGGUGGCGAGUGGCGGACGGGUGAGGAAUACAUCGGAAUCUACUUUUUCGUGGGGGAUAACGUAGGGAAACUUACGCUAAUACCGCAUACGACCUACGGGUGAAAGCAGGGGAUCUUCGGACCUUGCGCGAUUGAAUGAGCCGAUGUCGGAUUAGCUAGUUGGCGGGGUAAAGGCCCACCAAGGCGACGAUCCGUAGCUGGUCUGAGAGGAUGAUCAGCCACACUGGAACUGAGACACGGUCCAGACUCCUACGGGAGGCAGCAGUGGGGAAUAUUGGACAAUGGGCGCAAGCCUGAUCCAGCCAUACCGCGUGGGUGAAGAAGGCCUUCGGGUUGUAAAGCCCUUUUGUUGGGAAAGAAAAGCAGCAGGUUAAUACCCCGCUGUUCUGACGGUACCCAAAGAAUAAGCACCGGCUAACCUCGUG